CUUUUUGGUCCAGAAGCACUGCAGUGAAUGGAAGGGCCUCUCACAGUCAAACUCCAUGGCGCCAAAAUUAAAACCAGCGUUAAGGAUGAAACCGGCAAUAAGGAAAGCAUCACCAGAUUUCUUUACAUUACUUAUUGCAGGACGGAAUUAUUUGAGCAGUAAUGCUUCCAGGACCUUUUGAUUCACCGGACAGAGACCAAUCCAAAACGCAUAAUGCCAGGGAAAAUAUAGAGUUAUACUCUGAAGGAUUUGGAAAAGACUAUUUAGCAAUCACAGCAGCACUUUGGCACUUGUGCGAGAGCGUUGCACGCCUGUGCGAGCACAACCUCGCGUCUCUUCCGUUGGACUUGACUUUGUCUGUAUUUGCAUCCAGCUGUCUUCCUGCACGAUAACCAGAACACCGGAAAUUUGCUGAGGAUGACACACACAAUCAAUGAGGAGAUUUUAGUCAUUGCAUCAAAUUAGCAAAUUCUCAAUCCUGACUAAGAUACAGCUAGAAAACGAGCUGCCAGCAACACCCUCUGAAGCAGAUGGUUCCCACCACUUGGAAUGCUCCUUUCUGUGCACUUCAGCAGCUCCUGAAAUAACAGAGUGCUGCAGAACGGAGAAGGAAGAUGACUGGAAAAAUGGAGGCACAUAGAAAUGAAAUGACUAUCUAAAGUCACACCAGUCUCCUUCUUUAACCUGGUAAAUGGUUUUUCACCCCCACUCAUUGUACUUGGCUUGCAUCAUGCCUUCUUCCUAAGAAGUCCUCUGGAAGGCCUCAGCUCCCCAGCCCCACUCUAUGAUAAGUCGCCGAUUUUCCAUCCUGCCUUUCUCGUGCUUGAUUACAUCAUCCCCUUCCAGAGAAGUGAGUCCAGUGGACCAGAUCCAGAAUUCAUCGGAAGUGACAGGCGCCUGUCAAUGCCAACGCCCGUGGUCCUGGGCAGGGAGGAGGAAAACCAGGUCAUGUCGCCUUGGCGAGGAGGUGCUCGGGAUAAGGAUAACCCAUCUGCGAACACCAUGGGUUCACCCCUUUGAGGCUGGAAGCCCUGAGGGCACAGUGGGUGCCAGCACUGACAUCACCUUUGUCAUGCACCCUUCGCCCAUGAGGAUGCACCAGUGGUUUCAUAGGAACCCACUGCAUGCCCUGCUUUUCCCUGGGUGUUCCAAUACCCACUGCUAUAGCCUGGCAACGUUUGCAGCCAGCAACCCAUUUUUCCAACACACAGCUCUUGCUGCCUCUGAACUUAGCCCUGCAAAAAUAAAAAGUGGGUUUGGCAAUCUCUGAAUUAGACCUGGAUGCAUAAACAGAGGUAAUCCCUUUGUUCUCACUGACAACAGCUUAAGAAAUCCUCACGCAGAGCUCCACAGUGACACAAAACUUAUUUGCUACCACCGCUGAGGUUUAGAAGCAGAAUCCAUUUCAGGUGGACAUAAAAAUCCAGCCCAAUAUUUACUUGCCACUGGAUACAAACGUUUCCCAGUGAAGUCUGCACUAGUGUCAGAGAGGUGGAUAAAUCCUUCAACUUUGUUAAAUGUGGAAUAAAGGAGAGAAUAACUUGAAUUAAAUUCCUGUGCCCACUUGAAAUGAUGUCUGGCUGUGCCUCUGUACCUGUGCCUGAUUUUUGCAUGAAAAUAUUCUCUUUGUCCCUAUCUGGUGUUCUUCUUCAAAAAGGAAUUGAGUUAAAAAAGAAGGCAAUAAUGUAAGAUUUUUAAGCAAACAGUUCAAUAUUUCCUUUAAAAUGUUCUCUGUAUUCAAGAGCACUUUGAUUUCUAUCUUUUUUUUUUUCCUCCAGGCUUUGAAACUGUACCUCUUUUAAAAAAAGACCAUCCCUGAUUUUAGUCUUUUGUUCCUUUAUGAGCUUUGUCCCCGACUUUUAAAUGUGGAGAGAGUUGAGAG
Molecule: long non-coding RNA, 1882 nt
Organism: Gallus gallus (chicken)
Lineage: Eukaryota; Metazoa; Chordata; Aves; Galliformes; Phasianidae
Source: Ensembl